GGGGUCGUAGCUCAGUUGGGAGAGCGUCGCGUUCGCAAUGCGAAGGUCGUGGGUUCGACUCCCAUCGACUCCA
RNAcentral lists this transfer RNA (73 nucleotides) under Aquicella lusitana. It matches the Rfam family "tRNA". From Rfam's summary of the family: Transfer RNA (tRNA) molecules are approximately 80 nucleotides in length. Their secondary structure includes four short double-helical elements and three loops (D, anti-codon, and T loops). Further hydrogen bonds mediate the characteristic L-shaped molecular structure. tRNAs have two regions of fundamental functional importance: the anti-codon, which is responsible for specific mRNA codon recognition, and the 3' end, to which the tRNAs corresponding amino acid is attached (by aminoacyl-tRNA synthetases). tRNAs cope with the degeneracy of the genetic code in two manners: having more than one tRNA (with a specific anti-codon) for a particular amino acid; and 'wobble' base-pairing, i.e. permitting non-standard base-pairing at the 3rd anti-codon position. Lineage: Bacteria; Pseudomonadati; Pseudomonadota; Gammaproteobacteria; Legionellales; Coxiellaceae. The record is from Rfam by way of RNAcentral. RNAcentral also lists the same sequence under 1 other name.